Molecule: ribosomal RNA, 277 nt
Filed under: uncultured Microbacterium sp.
Lineage: Bacteria; Bacillati; Actinomycetota; Actinomycetes; Micrococcales; Microbacteriaceae
Description: partial 16S ribosomal RNA
Rfam family: Bacterial small subunit ribosomal RNA
Source: RNAcentral
ACGAACGCUGGCGGCGUGCUUAACACAUGCAAGUCGAACGGUGAAGCAGAGCUUGCUCUGUGGAUCAGUGGCGAACGGGUGAGUAACACGUGAGCAAUCUGCCCCUGACUCUGGGAUAAGCGCUGGAAACGGCGUCUAAUACCGGAUACGAGCUGCGACCGCAUGGUCAGUAGCUGGAAAGAAUUUCGGUCAGGGAUGAGCUCGCGGCCUAUCAGCUUGUUGGUGAGGUAAUGGCUCACCAAGGCGUCGACGGGUAGCCGGCCUGAGAGGGUGACCG